Non-coding RNA from Salmo salar (Atlantic salmon), 72 nucleotides. NCBI's taxonomy places the organism in Eukaryota, Metazoa, Chordata, Actinopteri, Salmoniformes, Salmonidae. The record is from Rfam.
UCCCAUGUGGCUCAGUUGGUAGAGCAUGGUGUUUGCAACGCCAGGGUUGUGGGUUUGAUUCCCACGGGGGAC